AAAGGGUGCGUAGGUGGCCUGUUAAGUCAGGGGUGAAAGACGGUAGCUUAACUAUCGCAGUGCCCUUGAUACUGAUGGGCUUGAAUGAACUAGAGGUAGGCGGAAUGUGACAAGUAGCGGUGAAAUGCAUAGAUAUGUCACAGAACACCAAUUGCGAAGGCAGCUUACUAUGGUUUUAUUGACACUGAGGCACGAAAGCGUGGGGAUCAAACAGGAUUAGAUACCCGGGU
This 230-nucleotide ribosomal RNA is filed under the name uncultured bacterium. Its description in RNAcentral is "partial 16S ribosomal RNA". It matches the Rfam family "Bacterial small subunit ribosomal RNA", at positions 562 to 791 of the family's 1533-position model. The record is from RNAcentral.